UGGGAGCCUCAGGUAACAGAAGCCAUGGGU
This 30-nucleotide non-coding RNA is filed under the name Mus musculus (house mouse). Lineage: Eukaryota; Metazoa; Chordata; Mammalia; Rodentia; Muridae. The record is from RNAcentral.